This 1193-nucleotide ribosomal RNA is filed under the name Candidatus Phytoplasma oryzae. RNAcentral describes it as "bacterial SSU rRNA". It matches the Rfam family "Bacterial small subunit ribosomal RNA", at positions 173 to 1378 of the family's 1533-position model. Lineage: Bacteria; Bacillati; Mycoplasmatota; Mollicutes; Acholeplasmatales; Acholeplasmataceae. RNAcentral also lists the same sequence under 1 other name. The record is from RNAcentral.
GCAUCUUUUUAUUUUUAAAAAGACCUUUUUCGGAAGGUAUGCUUAAAGAGGGGCUUGCGUCACAUUAGUUAGUUGGCAGGGUAAAGGCCUACCAAGACUAUGAUGUGUAGCUGGACUGAGAGGUUGAACAGCCACAUUGGGACUGAGACACGGCCCAAACUCCUACGGGAGGCAGCAGUAGGGAAUUUUCGGCAAUGGAGGAAACUCUGACCGAGCAACGCCGCGUGAACGAUGAAGUAUUUCGGUAUGUAAAGUUCUUUUAUUGAAGAAGAAAAAAUAGUGGAAAAACUAUCUUGACGAUAUUCAAUGAAUAAGCCCCGGCAAACUAUGUGCCAGCAGCCGCGGUAAUACAUAGGGGGCGAGCGUUAUCCGGAAUUAUUGGGCGUAAAGGGUGCGUAGGCGGUUUAAUAAGUCUAUAGUUUAAUUUCAGUGCUUAACACUGUCCUGCUAUAGAAACUAUUAGACUAGAGUGAGAUAGAGGCAAGUGGAAUUCCAUGUGUAGCGGUAAAAUGCGUAAAUAUAUGGAGGAACACCAGAGGCGUAGGCGGCUUGCUGGGUCUUUACUGACGCUGAGGCACGAAAGCGUGGGGAGCAAACAGGAUUAGAUACCCUGGUAGUCCACGCCGUAAACGAUGAGUACUAAGUGUCGGGAUUACUCGGUACUGAAGUUAACACAUUAAGUACUCCGCCUGAGUAGUACGUACGCAAGUAUGAAACUUAAAGGAAUUGACGGGACUCCGCACAAGCGGUGGAUCAUGUUGUUUAAUUCGAAGAUACACGAAAAACCUUACCAGGUCUUGACAUACUCUGCAAAGCUAUAGCAAUAUAGUGGAGGUUAUCAGGGAUACAGGUGGUGCAUGGUUGUCGUCAGCUCGUGUCGUGAGAUGUUAGGUUAAGUCCUAAAACGAGCGCAACCCUUGUCAUUAGUUGCCAGCAUGUCAUGAUGGGCACUUUAAUGAGACUGCCAAUGAAAAAUUGGAGGAAGGUGAGGAUCACGUCAAAUCAUCAUGCCCCUUAUGAUCUGGGCUACAAACGUGAUACAAUGGCUGUUACAAAGAGUAGCUGAAACGCAAGUUUAUAGCCAAUCUCAUAAAAGCAGUCUCAGUUCGGAUUGAAGUCUGCAACUCGACUUCAUGAAGUUGGAAUCGCUAGUAAUCGCGAAUCAGCAUGUCGCCGAAAUUUAAGGGUAAGGG